AGUGAGGAAUAUUGGGCAAUGGAGGCAACUCUGACCCAGCCAUGCCGCGUGCAGGAAGACUGCCCUAUGGGUUGUAAACUGCUUUUAUACAGGAAGAAACUUACCCACGUGUGGGUAAUUGACGGUACUGUAAGAAUAAGGACCGGCUAACUCCGUGCCAGCAGCCGCGGUAAUACGGAGGGUCCAAGCGUUAUCCGGAAUCAUUGGGUUUAAAGGGUCCGUAGGCGGGCGAUUAAGUCAGAGGUGAAAUCCCACAGCUUAACUGUGGAACUGCCUUUGAUACUGGUCGUCUUGAGUUAUAGUGAAGUAGAUAGAAUAUGUAGUGUAGCGGUGAAAUGCAUAGAUAUUACGUAGAAUACCGAUUGCGAAGGCAGUCUACUAACUGUCAACUGACGCUAAGGGACGAAAGCGUGGGGAGCGAACAGGAUUAGAUACCCUGGUAGUCCACGCCGUAAACGAUGGUCACUAGUUGUUGGGGCGUUUGCCUCAGUGAUUAAGCGAAAGUGAUAAGUGACCCACCUGGGGAGUACGAUCGCAAGAUUG
RNAcentral lists this ribosomal RNA (543 nucleotides) under uncultured Bacteroidota bacterium. RNAcentral's name for it is "bacterial SSU rRNA". It matches the Rfam family "Bacterial small subunit ribosomal RNA", at positions 353 to 896 of the family's 1533-position model. Lineage: Bacteria; Pseudomonadati; Bacteroidota. The record is from RNAcentral.